Molecule: ribosomal RNA, 292 nt
Filed under: uncultured bacterium
Lineage: Bacteria
Description: partial 16S ribosomal RNA
Rfam family: Bacterial small subunit ribosomal RNA
Source: RNAcentral
GUGUCAGCCGCCGCGGUAAGACGAAGGAUCCAAGCGUUAUCCGGAUUUAUUGGGUUUAAAGGGUGCGUAGGCGGACUUGUAAGUCAGUGGUGAAAGCCCGAUGCUUAACAUCGGAACUGCCAUUGAUACUGCAAGUCUUGAAUAUGUUUGAAGUGGGCGGAAUGUGUCGUGUAGCGGUGAAAUGCUUAGAUAUGACACAGAACACCGAUUGCGAAGGCAGCUCACUAAACCAUUAUUGACGCUGAGGCACGAAAGCGUGGGGAGCAAACAGGAUUAGAUACCCGGGUAGUCC